Anarrhichthys ocellatus (wolf-eel) is the source of this 1875-nucleotide long non-coding RNA. RefSeq lists it as uncharacterized. NCBI's taxonomy places the organism in Eukaryota, Metazoa, Chordata, Actinopteri, Perciformes, Anarhichadidae. The record is from RefSeq and is a predicted model, not a curated record. The transcript is spliced from 2 exons.
GGACCCACCGACUCUUCCUCACCACUUUCGAUGGACAGCUGUUUGGACCAGUUGAGUUGGCUUUCCUAAUUGGACGCGAGAAUGAAGGAAUGUAUUGGCGGGAAUUCUAUUUGGACGGACUGAUUGUCAGUACGGAUGCAGAAUGAAUCAGCGUCAUCAUCUCUGAGAAAAGAAAACACACAGAAGAAUACUCAAACCGGCAUCCAGCUGCCGCUCUCCAUCACAAACGGGAUCCCGCUCUGGCUUCGCCGCGACCAGAAUUCUUCCUCUUUGUCUUCCUCCUCCCGCUCUCCCCCCUCCGACUCCUUUGCGUCUCCUUCCGACGCCGAAGGUGAAAACAAACAAAAAUCCCAUCCUCAAGCGUCCGGGACGUCGCACCGCCACAAACACGCCAACUUGACAAACCUACGCUCUCGUGGCCGUCCAAGCAAUCUGCUGGAAUUACUAUGAAUGAUUUUGAGAGCUUGAAAAAAAAAAAAAAAAAGAGACAAUAAGAAGAAUGUAAUAUAAUCGAGAAGCCCUGCUCCAGCGGAUAAUGUACUUUUAUUUUGAAAGUUACAUUUUAUUUUAUUGUUUUUUUUAUUUUUAUUUUUAUUUGUUUGCAUGUAAAGUAACAAACGUUUGAUUUGAGCGUGCGAAUGUGAUGACACGGGUGUGUGUGUGUGUGUGUGUGUGUGUGUGUGUGUAUGUGUGUGGGUAGCGGUAUGAGUGACAACGUCUUUGAAGUACUAUCAGUAAUUGUGUCGGUUUUCAUGCCACUGUCGAGGAAGAGAAGAUAACAGACUUAUUGUUUUUGACAUGAAAAAGAAAAGAACAAACCCUGGACUGUUUUGUUUUUUUUUUUGCUUUUUUGUCGUUCAAAAAAAAAAAAAAGGGUUGUGUGUUGAUCCCGUCGUGCGAACUACUUACUCAGCAACAGCAUUUAUUACACAGCUUUGUUGGAAUGCAGCUCAUUCGCGAGCGGACACACAGGAGACAAAGAGUGUCGAGUGUGACGAAAAGCCUCCCGUCCACAGAAACACUCCGAACUCAAGACAAGAGUUUUGGACCCUCCGAAGCUCACGACAAGUCGGGGAAGAAAUGUCGGAACCGGCUCUAUUCUCUCUCUGUGAGGAAAUGGGGGCAGUUUAAAAUGAAGCACCUGUACACAACAAAGGAUCCGAGAAGUGAGGACAAGGUGUCUAAGAAGGGAAAUCUGUUGGGUUACUUUUUAUUUGUUUUUCCAGAGCACAUCAUACAGCUACAGGUUCAACCCAAUGGACUAUAUUCCUUUUUUUGUUCCUUUAUCUCUUCAAACUAUACUUAUGCGAAUGUUUCUGAACUCGUAAGUGACGCUUGAUAUAAUACAACAACACCUCCGUCCUUAAUACAGCUCUACAGCUCUUUUCCCUUUUUAUUGUUUAGGCAACGCGUCGUUCUUUUUGGGUUUUUAUCUAUCGUGAAGAAAAAGGACCUGUUUGGAAAUAUGCAAGACUUGUUGGGAAGGAGAAGGAAACCAGAAUGUACUGUAAAAUACUUUUUUCCUUUACUUAAAUGUUGGACGAUUUGAAAAAACGAAAAAUGAAAAAAAAAAUAAAUAACAAAACGCAAGAGUUAAUGUUUGUCAUUGUAUGUCUUCUGAUGCCAUAUGAUCUAGACAUGUAGAUCUAACAUUCUCUCAAUCUUUUUUUGUACUUUUUUUUUUGACAUGAUCAUGUUUUUUUUGGCUUUGUUUGUUUUAUUUUGUUUUUUUGUUGUCAAGGAGCUCUAGGUACAUGUAACUUAUGUCAUUUAUUUAUGUCCUUUUAUAUCUAGUUUGUAAAAUAAUAGCCUAAAGUGAAGAAAAUAAAGGGGUGCCAAAGUGCAUUCUUAAUAAAGUAGAAACCAUAUGACGAU